Salvia splendens (bonfire salvia) is the source of this 1972-nucleotide long non-coding RNA. RefSeq lists it as uncharacterized. NCBI's taxonomy places the organism in Eukaryota, Viridiplantae, Streptophyta, Magnoliopsida, Lamiales, Lamiaceae. The record is from RefSeq and is a predicted model, not a curated record. The transcript has 2 exons.
CCAACCAAUGAAAAUUCCUUGGCCCGAUUCUCUUCAAAUGGGGCAGCCCAUUUUGGUCCAAACAAUAAAAAAGUAGUCCAUCUUAUUAAAUUCCAGCCCGGCUCUUGGACUCAAAUAAAAUGGGUACACUACUUAUUUAAUUCCUUUAGCCCAAACUUAUCACAAUAAAAACUCUUGGCCCCAAUUCGAAAGCCCAAUCUAAUUGUUGGUGGCCCAAUGAUUUCUCCUUUACUAUUUCCAUCGUAUCCUACUCCCUCUCUCUCUCAACUUAAAUCAAAACCCCCAAAAUCAGAGACUCCAUUUCUCUCCCUCUCUUCACUGUCCGUCCGCCGUCAAUCGGGUCACUGGAGCUUCGCCGGUGUCCUCUGUUAUCGGCGCAUUCUCCAGCCGGCGACUGCUCUUCCUCCGCAGCUCUCUCUACUUUGCACCUCUUCGGCCGGCGCCGCCGUCAGCAGCCCCUCCGUCGCCCGGGUCUCUCCACCGCUGACUGACUACACAGUUCAUCUUCACUGAUCGAAGCUUCCAUGGCGCUGCCUCUGUCAGGUUCGGGCGAGAGAGACCCUUCUCGGCCUCUGCCCCUGCCGAUACCUCGCCCAAGCAGCUACUGCCCAUCGCUGCCUGUGGAGCUCGCACGGCUGUAUUGGAAGCCCCGUCGUCACCCCGUCAUUCCUAGAAAUCAUCUACGCACUAAGCUAAGCCCUCUAACUCCCAUCAUCUAUUUCAUUAUGUUGAGUUCCUUUCUGGCAGUAGCUUUGUGGUAAGGAAGUUCUUGACUAUGGGGUACUAAAGCUUUGAUCUUUCUUAGGCAGUAGCCAUGAUAAACUGUUACUGAUCUUGGGCUAAAGCAGCUUAUGAUAUUUCUUGUUCCAAAUUGCGUGAUGUGGAAAUCCUAAAGCUCUAAAUUCUUGAGCGUUAAACAUGAUUUUCUAUACUUGCUACUGUUACAAGGUUUCUUUUGCCAUGAUUCUAUGUUCUUGAGCCUAGCAUGAUGUCUUGAAACAAAAGCAGAGGUGUGCUAGUGUUUUACUUCAUUCUCGGUGACUCCUUCAAACGCCGGACUGCCCUUAAGCUCGCCGCCACUCCUUCCUCUCUUGCUGCACUUCUUGUGAUUUGUGAAUGUUGAGAGGUGUGAGGAAGGAGAUGGUGGAGGGGGCUGGUAUUUAUAGCCAAAACUCCUUGGCAUUUUGUGUCUAAUUUGGGUUAAAGAUUCUCUCUUCGUUUUUAUUUUGGGCUUAAAGCUUCACUACUAAAUUGGUGUAAGGCAUUGGAGAGCUCCAAUUUCUAUUUUGAGCUAACAACUAACCUCUCUUUUUGAGCUUUGUGACUGAGCCCCUUUACUUAAUUGGUCUAACAUUUGGGGCUGUUCUUAGGCUGGAUUCUCGGCCUUGGUGUUAGGAAGGAGUAUCUGACCCAUGUUCCUUUUGAGCAUGUUCAAUGAGCUCAUUUUACUAUGCUCAUUUGUCUUAGCUUCCAUUUUGGUGUAAGAUGGGAAUGUGACAAAAUGGCUGCCUCUCUGCCCAAGGAGGCAGCCUCUCGGCUGUACAAUUCAGCCUGCUUCCUCUCCAUGCUUAUUCGAGCUUGCCCUUCCCUAUCACUUUUCUAUGAGAUCAUCUUCUAACCCCACUUUGUGUUAACUUUGCAGGUUUAGGGGGCUACCCCUUUUUGGAGUUUUGGUGGAGGUGGAAAUCUAGAAAGAUAAAGGAAGAGAAGAGAAGGGAUUUACUACAUCACUCACUUUGUCUUAUUGCUAAGUUUAGCAAUUGUUUAAGCAUUAGGUUGGGAAUAGCUCUUGACCAAGUCUUAAUUAAGCCUCUAGCUUGAUGUUGGCUCCUUUCAAAGCUUAGAGUAUGAUUAGUUGUUAUUUUGUUCUCAUUGUAGCAAGGGUCCAAAAAAUGUAUCACCAUCUUGUAUUUUCUAUUUUUCCAACAAUUGUAAUUUCAAAACUUAAAUUUCCUUGCACUUUAAUUUCCAA